This 500-nucleotide ribosomal RNA is filed under the name uncultured bacterium. RNAcentral's name for it is "partial 16S ribosomal RNA". It matches the Rfam family "Bacterial small subunit ribosomal RNA", at positions 30 to 523 of the family's 1533-position model. The record is from RNAcentral.
AUUGAACGCUGGCGGAAUGCUUUACACAUGCAAGUCGAACGGCAGCACGGACUUCGGUCUGGUGGCGAGUGGCGAACGGGUGAGUAAUGUAUCGGAACGUGCCCAGUCGUGGGGGAUAACGUGGUGAAAAUUACGCUAAUACCGCAUACGAUCUGUGGAUGAAAGCGGGGGAUCGCAAGACCUCGCGCGAUUGGAGCGGCCGAUAUCAGAUUAGGUAGUUGGUGGGGUAAAGGCCCACCAAGCCAACGAUCUGUAGCUGGUCUGAGAGGACGACCAGCCACACUGGAACUGAGACACGGUCCAGACUCCUACGGGAGGCAGCAGUGGGGAAUUUUGGACAAUGGGCGAAAGCCUGAUCCAGCCAUUCCGCGUGCAGGAUGAAGGCCCUCGGGUUGUAAACUGCUUUUGUGCAGAACGAAAAGGUUUCUACUAAUACUAGGAGCUCAUGACGGUACUGUGAGAAUAAGCACCGGCUAACUACGUGCCAGCCGCCGCCGUAA